AACUUUGCGCAGUGGCAGUAUCAUAACCAAUGAAGUUAAUCUGAGGUGUGAUUAUUGCUAGUUGAAAACUUUUCCUCUGAUUA
RNAcentral lists this small nuclear RNA (83 nucleotides) under Chelonoidis abingdonii (Abingdon island giant tortoise). RNAcentral's name for it is "U4 spliceosomal RNA (ENSCABG00000021034.1)". It matches the Rfam family "U4 spliceosomal RNA". Rfam says of the family: U4 small nuclear RNA (U4 snRNA) is a component of the major U2-dependent spliceosome. The structure of U4 snRNA from yeast and human has been reported. U4 snRNA presents a k-turn RNA motif in the 5p-SL related to recognition of Snu13 protein. Lineage: Eukaryota; Metazoa; Chordata; Testudines; Testudinidae. The record is from RNAcentral.